CAGAACACGCACGAGUCCCGCUCGACCUCACGACAUGCGCGCCACGGUAGCCUAGGGUUUGGCCGCCGUCGGCCGAUGCCGCCCCUGCCUCUGUGGCUCACUCCGGCGACACUCCACAUACGACAGAUGUGAUGCCCAUAAUGAGUAUGUACUUCCAGUGCUACGACUGGAGGUGGCACGAACACAAGCAGACCCGGUUGAAAAUGAGGACAAUGAAGAUAGCAUGACAAUAUUCGUAGUAGGGUAGCUCAUGCUUGUCUAGCAAUGGCAACAUAAGUUUAGCUAUGUCGGUGGAGAUCAUCCUCAUGUGAACCAUACCGUGUUUUGUAUGAUGCAUAUCUUUGUAAUAAUAUUAUAGGAUCACUAUCUAUUUAAAUGUAUGCAACAUCAAAGUAUAGUUGUUCAAUUGUAUAUGUGUUAGCUAUAAAUCGCUUACAUUGUCAUACUUUUUCUGUGUAAAAUGAUCGUCCAAUUCCCUACAAAUGUACAUGUUACUACUUUACAGUAAAUUAGCAUAUAAACAUAUUCACUCAAGUGCCAGGGGCAUUCACAACCAAAUCUGCAGUUUUAUGGUAACAGACUCCAGCUCAGCAUUUUCACAGCAGCUCAACCCAUUAAGCUGCGUGUGGUCACGGCAUGUAAACUUUUGGAAUUUUUUAGAUGAAGGCAUGGAUUAUUUUUGUAAAUGUAUUUUCUCUACAUGGAGGUGAGGACCUCUGGUAUUUUCUAAAUGAAGGGUUGAUAGACUGCAGUGAUAUUUUUUUUUCUUUUACUUUGUGAAGGUGAGGAUAUUUUUAGACACGAGGACUCUAUGUAUCUUUUUAAAAUGCAAACAUGCACAUACCGUCCUCUCAAGCGGCGGCGCCACAGGUGACGCCCACUUUAAACAAAGGAGAAUUUUUUUGGAAGAGACGCACAUACAUCUUAUAAGUGCACCUAAAAACAGAUUAGGAGGGCUUUGAUUUUAGAGUCGUGCGUCGUCCUCAGGGCAGUAGCUAGAUGCUUUUUUUUUUCCUUCUAUUGUACGCUGCUCACCGAAAAGAAUUAAACCCAUCAGUAUCGCGCCUCCACCUCGUCUCGGUGUCUAAAAGACGAUGCCAAUGGCUAUUCCCCUCCUGCUUUCGUACCGCUAAUUUAGGUUGUCAUGACAAUUCCCGAUUUUAAGGGUACGAAAGGCUAUGGAAAAACCAAAUAGUGCAGAACUUAGAAACAGAGCUUCAAAUUUUGACAUUUUAUGGAGCCAUAAAUAUAUGCACACCGAUAACUGAAGAAAGAAAAGGACAUAAAAAAACAUCAAAGCAUUAAAACAAUAAUCAGCACACAUCGAGGACUACUUCAAUCAUUCGAAUUCCAGGUAACACAGGCACAUAGCAAAUAGUUCAACAGACAUGCCUGGAGGUUCAGCCACAGAACGAAGGUAGCAAAAUUUGACGGUGCAAACAGAUACUAUCAAGGUAAGCAUAGGGCAGGUUCCACAGAACAUAACAGCACAUAAGCUUAACGGUAGCGGCGGAGGGA
Aegilops tauschii subsp. strangulata is the source of this 1518-nucleotide long non-coding RNA. RefSeq lists it as uncharacterized. NCBI's taxonomy places the organism in Eukaryota, Viridiplantae, Streptophyta, Magnoliopsida, Poales, Poaceae. The record is from RefSeq and is a predicted model, not a curated record.